Cercocebus atys (sooty mangabey) is the source of this 764-nucleotide RNA transcript. It is a transcript of the gene named 60S ribosomal protein L32 pseudogene, with no coding region annotated. The record is from RefSeq and is a predicted model, not a curated record. The transcript has a single exon. NCBI's taxonomy places the organism in Eukaryota, Metazoa, Chordata, Mammalia, Primates, Cercopithecidae.
GAAUCUUCUUAUUUCCAGUAUAACCAUCUCUGAUUAUUUCAACUGUUUCUCUAAGACAUGAUUUAGAGUGAUCUUUGGUGUUCUCUGAAUUAAUUCCACUCAGUCUAGAUCCUGAUAGUGACAUAACAUGUUUCACAGGGCAGGCAUGCAGUAAAAAUUUAUUGAAUUUGGUUGGGCAUCAUUGCUUUUUCACUUUUUCUGGGUCCUCUUUUACCAUUACAGAAAGACCUGAGCUCUUUUCUUUGGCACUAGCCUAUGGAGGUGACACCCAUCUCCUCCAUCAUGGCCAUCCUCAGACCCCUUGUGAAGCCCAAGAUCGUCAAAAAGAGCACCAAGAAGUUCACUGGGCACCAGUCAGACUGAUAUGUCAAAAUUAAGUGUAACUGGUGGAAACACAGAGGUAUUGGCAACAUGGUUCAUAGAAGGUUCGAGGGCCAGAUCUAUGCCCAACAUUGGUUAUGGGAGAAACAAAAAAAAAAAGACAAAGCACAUACUGACCAGUGGCUUCUGGAAGUUCCUGGUCCACAAUGUUAAGGAACUAGAAGUACUGCUGAUGUGUAACAAAUCUUACUGUGUUGAGAUCACUCAUGAUGUUUCCUCCAAGAACUGCAAAGCCAUCUUAGAAAGAGCAGCUCAGGUGGUCAUCAGAGUCACCAAUGCCAGUGCCAGCCUACACAGUGCAGAAAGUGAAUAGACAGCGAAUGUGUUUGUUUUAUUGGGAUUUAAACAAAACCAAUAAAACUGUAAAAACAAAAACAACAAAA